UACGUAGGGCGCAAGCGUUGUCCGGAAUUAUUGGGCGUAAAGAGCUCGUAGGCGGUGUGUCGCGUCGGCCGUGAAAACCUGGGGCUCAACUCUGGGCGUGCGGUCGAUACGGGCAUCACUUGAGUUCGGCAGGGGAGACUGGAAUUCCUGGUGUAGCGGUGAAAUGCGUAGAGAUCGGAAAGAACACCAACGGCGAAAGCACUCUGCUGGGCCGACACUGACACUGAGAGACGAAAGCUAGGGGAGCGAAUGGG
This 254-nucleotide ribosomal RNA is filed under the name uncultured bacterium. Its description in RNAcentral is "partial 16S ribosomal RNA". It matches the Rfam family "Bacterial small subunit ribosomal RNA", at positions 524 to 776 of the family's 1533-position model. The record is from RNAcentral.